This 410-nucleotide ribosomal RNA is filed under the name uncultured Thermofilum sp. Its description in RNAcentral is "bacterial SSU rRNA". It matches the Rfam family "Archaeal small subunit ribosomal RNA", at positions 509 to 924 of the family's 1478-position model. Lineage: Archaea; Thermoproteati; Thermoproteota; Thermoprotei; Thermofilales; Thermofilaceae. The record is from RNAcentral.
CCUAAAGCGUCCGUAGCCGGCCUAGCAAGUCUCUGGUUAAACUUCAGGGCUUAACCUUGAGAUUGCUGGAGAUACUGCUAGGCUAGGGGGCGGGAGAGGUUGAGGGUACUUCACGGGUAGGGGCGAAAUCCUAUAAUCCGUGAAGGACCACCAGUGGCGAAGGCGCUCAACUGGAACGCGCCCGGCGGUGAGGGACGAAAGCCAGGGGAGCAAAGGGGAUUAGAUACCCCCGUAGUCCUGGCUGUAAACGAUGCGGGCUAGGUGUUGGGUUGGCUUCGUGCCAACUCGGUGCCGCAGUGAAGGCGAUAAGCCCGCCGCCUGGGAAGUACGGCUGCAAGGCUGAAACUUAGAGGAAUUGGCGGGGGAGCACGGGGCGGGGGCGGCGGGCCGGGCGCGGGGCGCGGCGGGCG